GACGAACGCUGGCGGCGUGCUUAACACAUGCAAGUCGAACGGAAAGGCCCUGCUUUUGUGGGGUGCUCGAGUGGCGAACGGGUGAGUAACACGUGAGUAACCUGCCCUUGACUUUGGGAGAACUUCAGGAAACUGGGGCUAAUACCGGAUAGGAGCUCCUGCUGCAUGGUGGGGGUUGGAAAGUUUCGGCGGUUGGGGAUGGAAUCGUGGCUUAGCAGCUUGUUGGUGGGGUAGUGGCUUACCAAGGCUUUGACGGGUAGCCGGCCUGGGGGGGUGACCGGCCCCAUUGGGACUGAGAUACGGCCCAGACUCCUACGGUAGGCAGCAGUGGGAAAUAUUGCACAAUGGGCGGAAGCCUGAUGCAGCAACGCCGCGUGCGGGAUGACGGCCUUCGGGUUGUAAACCGCUUUCGCCUGUGACGAAGCGUGAGUGACGGUAAUGGGUAAAGAAGCACCGGCUAACUACGUG
Molecule: ribosomal RNA, 468 nt
Filed under: uncultured bacterium
Lineage: Bacteria
Description: partial 16S ribosomal RNA
Rfam family: Bacterial small subunit ribosomal RNA
Source: RNAcentral